Molecule: small nucleolar RNA, 88 nt
Organism: Magnolia sinica
Lineage: Eukaryota; Viridiplantae; Streptophyta; Magnoliopsida; Magnoliales; Magnoliaceae
Product: small nucleolar RNA snoR128
Exons: 1
Source: RefSeq, a predicted model, not a curated record
UUGCAAUGAUGAUCAGCGAUUCAUUGAAAGUGUUAUCCUUUCUGGAGAUGCUUGAUGAGAUGUUAGUCCUGAGCGGUUACCUGAGCAA